Elaeis guineensis (African oil palm) is the source of this 2107-nucleotide long non-coding RNA. RefSeq lists it as uncharacterized. NCBI's taxonomy places the organism in Eukaryota, Viridiplantae, Streptophyta, Magnoliopsida, Arecales, Arecaceae. The record is from RefSeq and is a predicted model, not a curated record.
GUAGUUGCUCCAAGUUAGAUGGGUCAUGGUCUACACCAUCUGCCAUACUCUGUUGGUCUAGGAUGGGGUUCGCAAGUAGGCAUGCAUUACCUUAAAUUCUUUCUUCCACCUCUUUUCCAAUAAAUGAUCUCAAAAGUGUUUAAACUCUGCUUCCAUAUCAGUACAUAUUGCUGAUAAGGUUGUCACAAGAAAUUUUUGUUUAUAAACUAUAAUUUCAGGAAAUUCUGAUAGAAGCAAGAGUGCAAAACUGAAAAGAACAUACAAGACAUAUGAGAAAAGCAGUUUUCUUUAAUAUAAAACAGGACAAAUGUUUCCCUACCAAGCCACAGAAAUCUAGGCACAUCAUAAUCUGCUUGAUAUGUUUCUAUUAGCGGACUGAUUCAUUAUUUGUGUAUGCUUGAAAGACCUUAUAAUGUGAUGCAUAUUUUAAAAGUAAAUUGACAUGUUGAACAUAAACGUUUAACUUAUGGCUUCUAUAUCUGAUAUUUCAAUUUUGCAUGUAGACUUGUGGGAGUUUGGAGGAUGAUUCAUGAAAGUGAGAUAAAAUAUUUAAAAAAACCUUUAUGUAUCUAACUUGUCCACUAGGAAAGACUUAUGCCUUUAAGACUUCUACCAUCUACAAGGGAUGGCUUGAUGCAUCAAACUGCUCUCAAGUUUUUGUGAGUUUGUAUUGAUUUCAUGGUCAGGUACAUUUCCAGCCAAUAGAGUCCUUUACUAUAAAACCCAAAUGACUAGUUGCUGGAAAGUGAAAGGUAAAUUACUGAUUUUGCUGUUUGAUGCUUAUGGAACUUAGAAGCAGCCCUCCCAAUUUCCAUGGAUUAGGAAAAAGAAAAAUUCAUUGAAGAAUUUGGCUAGCAAGGUUUGGUGUUGAGGACUGCUUUCAUGUUUGAGGGACAGAACACAAUACCAAAUGCUCAGCAGGUACAAACACUUAAGCAAUACACUGAGAAAUUGAUGAUCUAUCAACGUAUGUGUUGUUCUUUUAUCAUUUAGAGCUCAGAUAUUGAUGUCUCUUCCUCUCAUCUAAACAUCUUUAAGGCAAGUGACGUAAAGAGUCUGAUCUGUCAACAGGCAAAAUCGCUCAUGAAAUUCCAAGUUUAUUGGCAUGACAUAUGACUUUACCUUUCUUAUGUUUAUUAAGGACAUGCACAUUUUGUGUUGUUGAACAUAUCAAAUGACAAAUUUAAUUUUGUGGGUGACUGUAAAAAGAACAUUAUUUGAAGUAAUUGACAUGAUGAAGACUAAACUUGGGUCAUUUUUAGUUGUUUUAGCUUCUGAUAAAUAAUAGCUGAUUGUAAUAUUGCAUGUUUCUGGACAUUGAACUUGGACAUCCAAGAGGAAAAUGUGAAUUCAAGUUCUCAGACCGUGCUGUGCUUUUAAGAUCAUACAUCCUUCUUUUUUGAUUUUUUUUUUUUCUAACCUGUAUUAUACAGAUCUUGGGCAAACGAAUGGACUUCAUCAUUGUUCUACAUGGUUCUAAAGCUGUCAAGAUAUUUACUAGCUGCAAGCACUUUUCCUUGGGGGAGGUUUGAAUGCAGUAGCAGGACUGGUUAGGAGAGUCUUUGAAGCAGAUUUCUGAGCUGGUGAUAAAGGAUCUGGAAUUUGUUACACCUACAGCUGUAGCAAAGGUGUCAAUUGUAAGACAUUGUGUCUUUUGCAUAUUAUGAUAGAAAGUAGGAUGCCUAUGUUUCUAUUUGAGAUGGAUCGGGUGCUUUUGUUGGAGUCUUACUGGAAGGUAACACUGUUGCGACAUGGAUUGAUGCUAAUCUGUACUUCUAUGGCGAUCCUUAUCUGACGACAACUGACAUUCUUCUGGGAACAGUACAGAGACCUGAAACUGCUGCACAUUGUAUUCUGCUCUGAAUGAUCUCUACUGGAGGCUGACAUCUUAAAAUCUCAAUUGUUUAUCAGAAUUCCUGUUGUUCAUUGUUCUGCUUUCUUUUGACCAUCAGAGUGGUCAGUCAAACAAUAAGAUGAUGAUCCCAUGAAUGUUAAAAAUAUCAAUAGUGCACAUUCCUUUUACUGCAUCUUUAUACUGUUGGCACUGAGAACGACCCUGUAUGUUUUUAUCAGAAGAUUCACAUAAAUGCACUUGAACAUGAUUCAA